This 255-nucleotide ribosomal RNA is filed under the name Pantoea sp. PNT03. RNAcentral describes it as "partial 16S ribosomal RNA". It matches the Rfam family "Bacterial small subunit ribosomal RNA", at positions 339 to 586 of the family's 1533-position model. Lineage: Bacteria; Pseudomonadati; Pseudomonadota; Gammaproteobacteria; Enterobacterales; Erwiniaceae. The record is from RNAcentral.
CUACGGGAGGCAGCAGUGGGGAAUAUUGCACAAUGGGCGCAAGCCUGAUGCAGCCAUGCCGCGUGUAUGAAGAAGGCCUUCGGGUUGUAAAGUACUUUCAGCGGGGAGGAAGGCGGUGAAGUUAAUAGCUUCACCGAUUGACGUUACCCGCAGAAGAAGCACCGGCUAACUCCGUGCCAGCAGCCGCGGUAAUACGGAGGGUGCAAGCGUUAAUCGGAAUUACUGGGCGUAAAGCGCACGCAGGCGGUCUGUCAA